RNAcentral lists this ribosomal RNA (459 nucleotides) under uncultured bacterium. RNAcentral's name for it is "bacterial SSU rRNA". It matches the Rfam family "Bacterial small subunit ribosomal RNA", at positions 340 to 789 of the family's 1533-position model. The record is from RNAcentral.
UACGGGAGGCAGUAGUGGGGAAUAUUGCACAAUGGGCGCAAGCCUGAUGCAGCCAUGCCGCGUGUAUGAAAAAGGCCUUCGGGUUGUAAAGUACUUUCAGUCGUGAGGAAGGUGUUAAGGUUAAUAACCUUAGCAAUUGACGUUAGCGACAGAAGAAGCACCGGCUAACUCCGUGCCAGCAGCCGCGGUAAUACGGAGGGUGCGAGCGUUAAAUCGGAAUUACUGGGCGUAAAGGGCACGCAGGCGGUUAAUUAAGUUGGAUGUGAAAUCCCCGGGCUUAACCUGGGAAUGGCAUUCAAGACUGGUUAGCUAGAGUCUUGUAGAGGGGGUAGAAUUCCAUGUGUAGCGGUGAAAUGCGUAGAGAUGUGGAGGAAUACCGGUGGCGAAGGCGGGCCCCUGGGACAAAGGCUGACGCUCAUGUGCGAAAGCGUGGGGAGCAAACAGGGAUUAGAUACCCGU